Molecule: ribosomal RNA, 468 nt
Filed under: uncultured bacterium
Lineage: Bacteria
Description: partial 16S ribosomal RNA
Rfam family: Bacterial small subunit ribosomal RNA
Source: RNAcentral
GACGAACGCUGGCGGCGUGCUUAACACAUGCAAGUCGAACGGAAAGGCCCUGCUUUUGUUCGUUUCUCGAUUGGCGAACGGGUGAGUAACACGCGUGUAUCCUGCCCUUGUCUUUGGGAUAACUUCACGAAACUGGGGCUAAUAUCGGAUAGGAUCUCCUGCUCCAUGGUGGGCGUUGGAAAGUUUCGGCUGUUGGGGAUGGACUGGCGGCUUAUCCGCUUGUUGGUGGGGUAGUGGCUUACCAAGGCUGUGACGGGUAGCCGGCCUGAGAGGGGGAACGGCGACAAUGGGACUGAGGUAGGGAGCAGAAGGGUACGGGAGGCAGCAGUGGGGAGUAUGACACAGUGGGCCGGAGCCUGAGGCGGAAACGCCGCGUUCGGGAAGACGGCUUACGGGUUGUGAACAGCUUUCGCCUGUGACGAAGCGUGAGUGACGGUAAUGAGUAAAGAAGCACCGGCUAACUACGUG